This 275-nucleotide ribosomal RNA is filed under the name uncultured Eubacteriales bacterium. RNAcentral's name for it is "uncultured Clostridiales bacterium partial 16S ribosomal RNA". It matches the Rfam family "Bacterial small subunit ribosomal RNA", at positions 70 to 339 of the family's 1533-position model. Lineage: Bacteria; Bacillati; Bacillota; Clostridia; Eubacteriales. The record is from RNAcentral.
UUUUCUUCGGAACUGAAGAUUUGGUGACUGAGUGGCGGACGGGUGAGUAACGCGUGGGUAACCUGCCCUGUACAGGGGGAUAACAGUCAGAAAUGACUGCUAAUACCGCAUAAGACCACAGCACCGCAUGGUGCAGGGGUAAAAACUCCGGUGGUACAGGAUGGACCUGCGUCUGAUUAGCUGGUUGGUGAGGUAACGGCUCACCAAGGCGACGAUCAGUAGCCGGCUUGAGAGAGUGAACGGCCACAUUGGAACUGAGACACGGUCCAAACUCC